UACGGAGGGUGCGAGCGUUGUCCGGAAUCACUGGGCGUAAAGGGCGCGUAGGCGGCUCAUGAAGGCUGUGGUGAAAGUCCGGGGCUCAACCUCGGAUCGGCCGUGGCGACUCGUGGGCUGGAGCACUGUAGAGGCGGGUGGAAUUCCGGGUGUAGCGGUGGAAUGCGUAGAGAUCGGCAGGAACACCCAGGGGGAAACCAGCCGACUGGGCAUAGGCUGACGCUGAUGUGCGAGAGCGUGGGGAGCGAACCGG
This 253-nucleotide ribosomal RNA is filed under the name uncultured bacterium. RNAcentral's name for it is "partial 16S ribosomal RNA". It matches the Rfam family "Bacterial small subunit ribosomal RNA", at positions 524 to 776 of the family's 1533-position model. The record is from RNAcentral.